AUGUAGUGCAAUGGAUAGCGCGUUGGACUUGUAAAAUCCAAAUGUCGUGGGUUCGAAUCCUACCUGGGAUG
RNAcentral lists this transfer RNA (71 nucleotides) under Trichonephila inaurata madagascariensis. RNAcentral describes it as "tRNA-Thr". The stretch from base 3 to 64 matches the Rfam family "tRNA", at positions 7 to 64 of the family's 71-position model. Rfam says of the family: Transfer RNA (tRNA) molecules are approximately 80 nucleotides in length. Lineage: Eukaryota; Metazoa; Arthropoda; Arachnida; Araneae; Nephilidae. The record is from RNAcentral.